AUUGAACGCUGGCGGCAGGCCUAACACAUGCAAGUCGAGCGGAUGAAGGGAGCUUGCUCCUGGAUUCAGCGGCGGACGGGUGAGUAAUGCCCAGGAAUCUGCCUGGUAGUGGGGGAUAACGUCCGGAAACGGGCGCUAAUACCGCAUACGUCCUGAGGGAGAAAGUGGGGGAUCUUCGGACCUCACGCUAUCAGAUGAGCCUAGGUCGGGUUAGCUAGUUGGUGGGGUAAAGGCCUACCAAGGCGACGAUCCGUAACUGGUCUGAGAGGAUGAUCAGUCACACUGGAACUGAGACACGGUCCAGACUCCUACGGGAGGCAGCAGUGGGGAAUAUUGGACAAUGGGCGAAAGCCUGAUCCAGCCAUGCCGCGUGUGUGAAGAAGGUCUUCGGAUUGUAAAGCACUUUAAGUUGGGAGGAAGGGCAGUAAGUUAAUACCUUGCUGUUUUGACGUUACCAACAGAAUAAGCACCGGCUAACUUCGUG
Molecule: ribosomal RNA, 484 nt
Filed under: uncultured bacterium
Lineage: Bacteria
Description: partial 16S ribosomal RNA
Rfam family: Bacterial small subunit ribosomal RNA
Source: RNAcentral